UUAGAGAGAGGUUAGGGGUUAGAGAGAGGUUAGGGGUUAGAGAGAGGUUAGGGGUUAGAGAGAGGUUAGAGGUUAGAGAGAGGUUAGGGGUUAGAGAGAGGUUAGAGGUUAGAGGUUAGAGAGAGGUUAGAGAGAGGUUAGAGGUUAGAGAGAGGUUAGGGGUUAGAGAGAGGUUAGGGGUUAGGGAGAGGUUAGGGGUUAGAGUGAGGUUAGGGGUUAGAGAGAGGUUAGAGGUUAGAGAGAGGUUAGGGGUUAGAGAGAGGUUAGAGGUUAGGGAGAGGUUAGGGGUUAGAGUGAGGUUAG
Molecule: long non-coding RNA, 303 nt
Filed under: Salmo salar (Atlantic salmon)
Lineage: Eukaryota; Metazoa; Chordata; Actinopteri; Salmoniformes; Salmonidae
Description: lncRNA (ENSSSAG00000084263.1)
Source: RNAcentral